AAGGCUAUACUUUCAGGGAUCACUUCUGUAGUAUGUUACUAGUGGACUUUCUCUAAUCGUGUAGAGCACCAGAAGCCACACAGAAGAGAUGACAUGUUCUUUUCUGAGUGUGGAGCUCUUGGUGUUCCUUGAAUGCAAAUACCACUUGCAGUGAAUGAUCGUUCUUGCUGUCUCCUUGGAGGAAUAAAGGGGAGGAAUGCAGUCUGAGUGGC
This is a small nucleolar RNA of Cavia porcellus (domestic guinea pig), 212 nucleotides long. Its record names the gene U3. It matches the Rfam family "Small nucleolar RNA U3". From Rfam's summary of the family: Small nucleolar RNAs (snoRNAs) are involved in the processing and modification of rRNA in the nucleolus. There are two main classes of snoRNAs: the box C/D class, and the box H/ACA class. U3 snoRNA is a member of the box C/D class. NCBI's taxonomy places the organism in Eukaryota, Metazoa, Chordata, Mammalia, Rodentia, Caviidae. The record is from Ensembl.